UUACCUGUUGUUCAUGAUGAUUCUGCAGAUAUGACAGCAGGUUUAAGGCAAAGGAGAAAGUCAGAAGAUAAUGAAAAUAUAAAUUUGGAGGCUGCUCUUAGGAAAUACAGAUUAAAUUUAAAAUCUUCAAAAGGACACAAAACAGAUGAUGUAUCAUCAAAGAGUAAGUGUGGUAUUUAUUCUAUUCUCUUUGAAGUAGAGAUAACAGCUGAAUCAACUUAAGGACCGAAUAUGUACCUUUUUAUUGACACAUUUAAAUGUUUAUCUCUGUGUCCUUUUCUCCCUUUUUCCUUAUUAUCCUGUUGUACCUAUUCCUUUAACCAUAUCACAGAAUUCUGAGGUGCCUCUUGCACUGGACAUUGCUGUUAUAAAAAAUGUAAACAAAACAUAUUCAGAUUUGACAACAACAUGUGUAUAAAUGGAGAGGUUAAUGGCAGAGUUAGGUUAUACAGGAUGUUUAAUGUUUAGAGCAGGCUUCCUCAAACUCUGGCCCUCCAGAUGUUGCUGAACUACAACUCCCAUGAUUCUAUGAAUAAAAUAGAUAGGCUGAGAAUCAUGGGAGUUGCAGUUCACCUACAGCUGAUGGGCCAGAGUUUGGGGAAGCCUGGUUUAGAGGAUUAGAAGCUUGAGUGGGGUUACAGUUGUGGUAUAAAGGGUGUUUAGUAUUAUUGGGUUUAUGGUUGAAGUGAGGUUAAAUUUAGUGUUGGUGUACAUGGUGUGUUCAGUUUUUAAGAGAAAUUAAACCAAGGAUUAAGGUGAAGAGCUUUGUUUCAUGUUUAGAAUUUGAGGGCUUAAAGGAACAUUAAGGUCACCAAAACUGCUUGUGUGUAUAGAUCAUGACUCUGAAAUUGCACUGCUCAAUUCACUGCCAUUUAGGAGUUAAAUCGAUUUUGUUUCUGUUUUUGCUGCCCUAGCCACACCACACCUGACUGUGACUGACAGCCUGCAUGAAAACAAAAUGGUUUAAUUUUCAAUCAGAUGUAACCGACUUUACAAGUUUUCAUGUCCUGCUCUGUAUACUGAACUUUAAUUACAUACAGGAGGCUCAUGCAGGGUCUAGCAAGCUAUUAACAGAUCAGGAGAUAAAAAAGUCUACAUUGAACAAAAUUUGCAAUAAAAGAAAUGUAAACAUUAGAUGAAUCAUUACAUGAAGUGUUUAGGAAGGCUGUGCAAGUCACAUGCAGAUAGGUAUGCCUAGGGCUGCAUGGACAAGGUGAUUUUAGUCUUUAAUGGCAGAGAAUUGAGCAGUGAGAGCGGUUAAAUUUAGGUAUAGGGUGUUUAGGGUAUAGACAUGUGGAAUUUGAAGGGAUAUAUGAGAAGGGGAAAUAAAGAUUAAAGCACAAUUUCCACUGCAGCUGGGUGUAUUCCUGAGCUGGUUGUAUUACUGAUGUGACUGCUAGGGGGGGAAAGUGUAAAAAAACAGUAGAACCCUAGGGUAAGAUCUCCCCCGGAGAGCACGCAGUGGAAAGGUGAGCCAGUGGUGGUUAUUGCUCAUCUCCAUGCGGCAAGUGGGGAUUAAGUGCCUCUACUUGCUUAACCUAUGCCUAUUGAUGGCGGACUGACACCCCUGGGGAUCAUAAUACCACCUCUCUGCAGGUGAGCGCCGUACCAGUCCCAAGCUCUUGUGUGCUCUUGUUCAGCGCUGGCUGAAAGGCCAUCUAGUCCAGUUGCUGGGACUUGGUCUCUGGGCCUUCUCUGUGCUCCGAAUCUGUGUUGCCAUGUGUGUGUUCUCCGGCGGAGGGGUCCGCGAGUAUGUAGUCGGCUCCCAUCUGAGCGUCGUGCAUAGAAGCUGCGGCAAGGUUGUAAGGUGAGUGGUCGGUGUUGGCAUGCUGCUUUUCGGUUCGGUGUCGGGAGAGUCCGCCGGCGGGCCCGUCGGCAAGAUGGGCGCAACUCCGCGUGGGCACUGGAUCGGUGAAUUGCCGCUUCAGCCUCCUUCACCUUCAUAGCAGGUAGGUCAGAAUGGGUGGCUUUAUGCUCCAUGCGCUUCCAGAAUUCCUGGCAGAUUCGAUCAAAGCGGGCUUCAAAGUGCUCUCUCCAGGUCUGGAUCUCAGGGCUUGCUUGAGACUGCAGAGAUUGCUGCUCGGCGGCCAUUUUGGGCCCGAGCCGCGGUCUCCCCUCCAGCAGAUCAGUCCCUUGUGGUGAGUUUGUGGGAUUCCCCAGUGGGGACCGGGAUAACCCCCACCGGUCCAGAGGGGGGGGAUGCGGGAUGCCAGGUGAGCUGCUGCUUGUAGCGGUCCCCAGGGCGGGGGAUCGGCCGCCUCUCCCAACCAUGAGGCUGCUGUCCUUGCUAGGCCGCAUUUGUGGAGUGUGGUAUUUCUAGAAAAAAGUUCACAAAACAGAUGUCCACGAGCCUCCACGCAGUCUAGUGAUGAUUUUUUGUUGAGCAGGACUGCUAAAUUCAAGGUUUUGGCCAGUAAUAGCCAAUUUAAAUCUCGUUUGUGUCAGAGCUCUCUGCAUGCACGUCCAGCUAGCUCUGCUGUCAGGCCCCGCCCCCUUUGUACCCUCACCUUUAUGACAAAAAAUAUUGGGGCUCUGUAAUUGUUUGAGUAACCUUUCUGAAAUCAGUAUAAACCGAAUAAAUUGCAAUAUGUUUCAAAAAAAUAAAUUACAAAAUAAAAAAAACAUGUUUUUCCUUUAAAAAUCAUCACAUUUGGGGGUGAAGCCAAGCAUCCGAUCUGAACGGUCACAUCUCCACUGAGCUCCGUGAAACUAGGCCUGAAUUGCGUGAAAAACCUAACAAAAACCCACAUAACUCAACACCGCUGGGACCCCCGACCAACCCACACUGAAAUGGGACGCAAAACUAAAAAACAGAAGGCUGACAAACCAAAUCUGGGCAUGAAUAUUGGAGAUUUGUGGUGGCAGGCGCAUGGCUCUUCACAAGCCAAGAUGACGUCCUACCCCGACGAAAGCUCCGACUUCUCGGACGAUCUCACCCUGGGGUCCCAGGAACUCCUCAUGCCUAACCUGCAAAGGCCAAUAGAGACACUGGCACCAACCUCGUCCAAAAGGACUUGUCACCGGUAACCAGAGCCGACAUGCAAGAGUUACUGGCGGGCCUCAGACGGGACAUUUAUUCGGACGUUACUGCACUCUGCACCGUUCUCCAGGGCCCAACAGGCCGCGUGGGGGCUCUGGAAAUAGACUCCCAGAACACCAAAUGGCAAAUAACUCACCUGCAAACGGAGCUGCGGUCACUACGAAAACAACAUGUGGCCCUGGAGCAGAGGUUCACAUCCAUGGAGGACGCCAGAAGAAUCAAAAACCUAAAGAUCAGAAGGUUGGUGGAGGCAGUGCCGGACGCAGAAUUACCACAUUUUGUUAGACGCCUACUGGGCAUGAUAUUGCCCCCCAAAGAGGCAAAAAUUAUGACAAUCGAAAUCAUGUUCAGGAUUACUAAAACCUAUAAAAGCUCCUGUCGUGGCUCCCAGGGAUCUGAUCAUAUGCUUCCAGACUAGACAAGACAAAGCCGCGGUGAUGAACUCCCUACGGGGACAAGCACCCUACCAGUUUGAAAACUCCUCACUCACCUUCUUUGCAGAUCUAUCUGGGAACACCCUGGCGUGGCGAAAAUCCCUCCAGCCUCUCACAACGCUGCUCCGCUCACACAGCAUCGCCUACCGGUGGCAGGCAACCCAUACCCUGAUGAUCUUCCACGAGGAAUCCUCAUACCCGAUCCACAAUCUAGAAGAAGCGGCAACAAUCCUGGGGAACAUGGCCACCAAACUCACACGCCAAUGCCACGAAUAAACCGGCGAACGCAUUCCCCAACUGGGACCCAGGAGAACGCAACCACCUGCAUACCCAGAAGGCCCCCAGCAACCACAUACGCCACGGUCACAACAUGAGGGCACAGCAAAGAGAAGAGACCGCAAUUCACCCUUUGCGACGGACUGAUCACACCCCAAUAGUGGCCAAUACGCGGUCAGGACAGUCCGAGAGAAGCCACAUGAAUCAGACCGAGCUAUGCUCAACACCAUUAGCACCAUACCAUCUGGCUAAGACUUCUGUUUAUAUGUUCCUAUUUCUGCUUAUAUUUUACCACUUCUGUCUUUACGGAUCACUGGGGCACUCAAUGACGUGACAAAGGCCACCGGAGAGCGGUGACUAGAGACAGGUAGAACGGACACAAGCCAACACUCCGACAAGUUCCCCAGAUGGGCCAACCCCACCAGCGGGAGAGCACAUAUCAGAAUAUGUGCUCCCUACCCCAGAGCAGGCAGCACCAGCAUACCCCGACUGGCAUCCUCGCAUUGUCCUACCCCAACCCCACACCCCACGCCUCAAGGAGCUCUAAGGGCAAUGACAUACCUCCCAACGACCUUAUAACACACCCUUGGGCCAACACUAGGGUCAUCAGGCCGACUGCCAGAAAUGGCCACAACAACAGAGCCCCGAUCUACAUCUACUGCCACACACCAAAAGCCCCCAAGCCCCUUAGGAGACUUACCAGCCCGAUGUGAGUCAAAGGGCGGACACACGACAUGAGCUAACAUGGGGGGACAUAACACACCCCGCGGCAAACAACUCCACUCACGACUUCCCCACCGGGGGAACCACACGAAAUUGCCAUGCCCCGUACGCGGACUAAUAGACGUAAAGGGGCAAACACAAUACUCACCCGCAUAACCGUAGAAGGGACUUAUUCACCCCAGCUACACAGGGCCAAAAGGGGGUCACUCAACUACAGAAUCGACUGGACUAACAGUUGACCCAGCUACACUUAGACAAAUACAGACAACUGACAACCCAAAUAAAGACUGACAGACAACCUAAAUAUACUCACAUUCGAAAAGACGAAUAUGGAUCUAUAUAACUAACACAAUGCUACUGCUUAUAAUGCUUUAAAAACAAAAAAGUGCACUGUUAUGCAUACCUGACUAUUGUUACAAUAUAUUACAUGUUGAAUGAAACACAAACAAAUGCUGCUGGGGCAAUGCUAGCGACUAUGUAAAUUAAAUAUUUGCACCAAAAAAAUUAAGAAGAAGAAUAAAAAAAUAAACAUCACAUUCAGGUUAAUCCAGCCAUUCUGUUGAUGAAUUCCUCAAAAUAGGCAAAGACUAUAUCUAUUUUAAAUAAUGAACUAUAUAGGUUGAACAUUUUUAUGUAAUUAGAGCUUGAACAAACAAGCAGGCUACAAUUUUCUCAUAUAAUUUACAUUAAAUACUAUAUUUUGCUGUUUUUUUAAUAGAUAGAAGGAGAUCGCUAGGAGCUGUUAAACAUGAAAAAAUCUCGAGUGCUCUGUCUACAAAACCAGAAAAGAAAUGUCUCAGUCUGGCCAUGAGCUUGAAGCCUUUCCUUGCUGGUAAUUGCACAAUUUGAUGACAUACAUAUAUGUUAUAAAUUUAACCUGAAUAUAUUUGCCAGUGGGCAAUUUAAAGAUGUUAAAUGUAUCUUUUAAAUAUAAGGUUUUGGAACCUAAUGGAGAAGAAUAUACCCUAUACCAUGGGUCCUCAAACUCCGGCCCCCCAGAUGUUGCUUAACGACAACUCCCAUGAUUCUUUGAAUUACAUAGAUAGCCAGAGAAUCAUGGGAGUUGUAGUUCAGCAACAUCUGGGGAGCCGGAGUUUGAGGACCCAUGCCUUAUACUAUAAGAUGCAUAAUAUUGAUUAAGUAUUAAUGCAUAAUAAUGUAUGUACUAAUAAUAAUACAAUGUUGAUGUCUUGUACAUUUUAUGUAACAUAAACUGAUACUUUAGUACCUUGGGCAUAAUUCUAGUUUACUGUCUAUUUAAACAUUUUUUAUUAAACUGAAACUCUGUCACGGGAGUCAUAUCCCAACACGCAGGAAAGAGGAAAAACGCAAAAGGUGGAUUCGAAAGACGUAUUACCGAGCCUUAGAAUGGCCAAAGUUAACGUGUCAAUACAACCAUACAACAAGAAACAGGGUCAAGAUAAAUCAAGGUCAGGAUUACAGCAAUACUCUGAGUCAAAUACAAAGCCUGGGUCAGGAUAAUAGAAAUCACAAGUCAAAUACAAAGCCGGGGUCAGGAUACCAGAAAUCACAAGUUAAAUACGAAGCCAGGGUCAGGUUACCAGAAAUCACAAGUCAAAUACAAAGCUGUGGUCAGGAUACCAGAAAUGAAGAGUCAAACGAGGUUCUAAACAGAAACCACAAUAGGGCAAAGAAUGGUGGUUAAAACAAGCCUUAAACAGGCUCAAAAGAGUUCCCAUUGGAUAGCUGCAACCUCAUACUCCUCAACCGAUACAGGAGUGCAAGGUCCAGUAAACCGAUUACAGAUCAUAGGUUACAACAGGGAGGUAUGGAAGGCAUCAGGCAAAUGCAUGGAAUGAGGUAAUUCUAGGGCGAUACAGGAUUCAUUUUGCACAAGAUGCAGAAAGGACCAAUGAAACUAGGACCGAACUUCAUGCAGGGCACACAGAGACAGACUUUUUGGGUAGAAAGUCAAACCCUAUCCUCGACCACAUAGGAAGGAGCCACACGGUGAUGCCUAUCCGCCUGUGCUUUCUGUCUCUUUAGGCAGUAAUUGUUGAUAAUCAAGAAAAAAAAAAUAAUAUAUAAUAAAAUAUAAUAAAAAUAAAAUAUAAUAAUAAAAUAAUAUAAUUGUUGAACCUGCUCCCACAUAAACCAGCCAUAUGCACAUCCAGAGCGGGCAUUCCCUGUGAGGAGAAUGCAGUUGGGAGAACAGGAUGCCGGCUAUAGACUACGUAAAAAAGUCUUGACCCAGAGGAUUCGUGAGCAGCGUUAUUGCGAGCAACCUCAGCCCAAGCAAGCAGGUCAACCCAAUUAUCUUGGUGAAGAGAAACAUAACGUAGAUAAUGCUCAAGAGAUUAAUAGGCACGUUCGGCAGAUCAAUUAGUCUGAGGAUGGUAGGCGGAGGAAAAGGACAACUCAAUACCCAUCUUCGAGCAGAAGGCCCUCCAGAAGGGAGAAACAAAUUGACUACGUGUGUCUGUUAUAAUUUGUUCUGGUAUGCCAUGUAGAUGGAAUACCUCCCUGGAGAAAACCCUAGCUAAUUCAGCAGAGAAGGGGAGUUUCCUCAGGGGUAUGAAAUGUGCCAUCUUAGAAAACCUAUCUACGACCAUAAGUAUGACAGUAUAUCCAUAAGCAGGGGGUAGUUCUACUAUAAAAUCGAUAGAUAAGUUGGACCAGGGUUUAGUGGGUAUGGGUAAAGGUUGGAUCAAUCCACAUGGUACCCUGUGAAUGGUCUUGUUAGUUGCACAUUUGUCACAAGAAAGCACAAAGUCUUUAAUAUCCCUCUUUAGAGAAGACCACCAGAAGUCUCAAGCUACAAGGUUAGUGGUCUUGGUUAUUCCAGGGUGCUCGGCAGGUUUGCUAUCAUGACAUAAAGACUAGGGAUGUGCAUGGGCAAACAUUUGGUUCGGCACUUCCAAAAUUCGCGACUUAGGCAAUUCCCUAACCCUACCCACCACACCCACUUACACAUCUAGGGUUAGGGAUAGGUGAAGGGUUAGAUUCCUGCCAUCAUUCCCGUAAUUUUCCCUACCUGUCUUGUUUUGUUACUUUUCAGAAAUCCGAAGCACUUCGGCAGUUCCAAAAUUCGGCACUUUGGCAAUUUGGUUCGGUUCGGCACUUCAGAAAUUCGGCAACUCGGCAGAAUUUACAUUCGGAACGAAACAAAUUGCACAUGUCUAAAAAAGACAUAACUACAUGUCUGACAAUAGGGGUAACAAACAAUUCAUCAUUAGGCUUGCAUUCAGGGGAAUCAGAUUUGGUAGAUAUAACGCGACUUAACAGCGAAGAGGAUACAGAAAGAACUGUUGUAGCUACGAUUCUUUCCGGGGGAAUGAUGUAACAUUCCUCUGGUCUGUCCUCGUCACUCACAUCGACCUGCCUGGACAAAGCAUUGGCUUUGGCAUUGCGUGGUCCAGAUCUAUAAAUAAUAAAAAAAUGUAAUCUGGACAGGUAGAGAGACCAUCUUGCCUGCCUGGAAUUCAACCGUUUAGCCUUUCUGAGGUACAGAAGGUUCUUAUGAUCCGUUAGCAGUAUGAUGUGAUCUUUCGAACCUCCUAGGACAGUGGUUCCCAACCCAGUUCUCAAGUACCCCCUAACAGUCCAGGAUUUAGGGAUUACCCAAUGUGUCAAAGGUGUUUUUAGAAAAAAACAAAACAAAGACACUUUAGACACAAUAGGGGUAAUCCCUAAAUCCUGGACUGCUAGAGGGUACUUGAGGACUGGAUUAGGAACCCCUGUUCUAGGAGGUGUCACCACUCCUACAAGGCUACGAUAAUGGCCAUUAGUUCUCUAUUGCCAAUUGUCAGGAUACCAGAAAUCACGAGUCAAAUACGAAGCUGAGGUCAAAUACAGGAAGUCACAAUGAAAUCACUAGGAGCACUAAAUGAGGAUCAAAACAGAAACCACAAUAGGGCAGAGAAUGGAGGCUAAAGCAAGCCUUAAAUAGGUUCAAAAAAGUUCCCAUUGGUCCACGUCAUCUCUGCGAGCCCAAACAACAUUGGGUCACCUAGAUGACAUUGUCCCUUUAAGGUAAUGUCACUUUACAUUUUAUUUUUAGAGGUUGCAGUUCAUCCCUCAAACUAGCAGAGGAAGCCAUUCGCGGGACCGAAGGUAAGCAUUCUAUUCAUGUAGCCAUGUGGAGAAUUUGAGCAGCGUGGACUGAGGCAAUGCGGCCACGCCGUGCGUUCUGCCUGAGGAGAGGAGCGGCGCGGGCGCCAGUUAAAGGUAAGUUUGUGACAAACUCCCUUUUAGGGGGACACAAAUGUAUUUAUUUAUAAAAUAUUUUACCAGGGAGGAUACAUUGAGCUUUCUCUAAUUUUCAAGCAUGUCCGGGGUCCACAAAAUGUUGCAUCGUUACAAUAGGGUACAAUAAAAUGCAAAACCAAUAUUAACACACAACAUAUAUACAGAAUUUAACAUAGAACAGGUAAUAAAUAUACAGUCAACCAUGACGUGCAUUCUGUGCAAAUGCCAUUUAUAAAUAUUAAUUUCUAACAGAAGAAAAUGAGAUUUAUAAUCAGUAAUUUAGGAUGUGGCAGUAAAUCCCGUGGUCCUGUGAAGGACCACAAAAAGCACCAUCAAUAAAAUAUGGUACAACAAUAGUGUUCCAGGACGAAUGUAGAGGAGGCCCCAGUCCUACUUAAUAUGAUGAAACGGAUCCUGCAGAUAUCUAUUGUGACAUUGUCCAUUAACACAUUAACUGAUCCAUUUUAAUAUUUGAUUAUGUUUGAGGUUAUUAGCUAAACCAUGUUUUGAGUAGGUGUAAGUGUGGAAUUUAUACUAUUCUCUUUGAAGUAGAGAGAACAGCUGAAUCAACUUAAGGACCAAAUAUGUAAAAAAAUGUCUUUUUUUUAUCAACACACUAGUUGCAUGAUUACAUUUACUAAAUUGUAACAUCAUACAUUGACUGAAAGUUGCAAAGAAAGUUUUUCUUUGUUUUUUCCCAUAUAGGAGAACUAUGCAUGACAGAACGAUUGCAUGAUACAUCGGAUAAAGUGUUAGAUGGCUAUAUAACUCUCGUAACAGAUGCACCAUUGCUGUCAGAGGAGCAGAAACGAGAAUUGAAUCCAUUGGUCAUUCGCAUCCUUUCUGCCACAUCCCUUCCUACAAAACCUACCCCAAUUCACAUCUUACAGG
This is a non-coding RNA of Pelobates cultripes (western spadefoot toad), 9573 nucleotides long. The record is from the annotation of a GenBank genome assembly. Lineage: Eukaryota; Metazoa; Chordata; Amphibia; Anura; Pelobatidae.